This 116-nucleotide small RNA is filed under the name Salmonella enterica. RNAcentral's name for it is "RtT sRNA". It matches the Rfam family "RtT RNA". Rfam says of the family: This family represents a bacterial cis-regulatory element known as RtT RNA. The exact function of RtT is unknown although it is thought that it may be involved in changing the cellular response in relation to amino acid starvation. The record is from RNAcentral. Lineage: Bacteria; Pseudomonadati; Pseudomonadota; Gammaproteobacteria; Enterobacterales; Enterobacteriaceae. RNAcentral also lists the same sequence under 2 other names.
AUCUGAGGUCUGACGAGGAUGAGAACCUCCGGGGGCAAGAGGUUCGACCCGAGCGAAGCGAGAGAACGUUGCGCCAGCAACGGCCCGCAGUGGCAAGUCAUCCUCUGUCACCGGCA